UACGGAGGGGGCUAGCGUUGUUCGGAAUUACUGGGCGUAAAGCGCACGUAGGCGGCUUUGUAAGUUAGAGGUGAAAGCCCGGGGCUCAACUCCGGAAUUGCCUUUAAGACUGCAUCGCUUGAAUCCGGGAGAGGUGAGUGGAAUUCCGAGUGUAGAGGUGAAAUUCGUAGAUAUUCGGAAGAACACCAGUGGCGAAGGCGGCUCACUGGACCGGUAUUGACGCUGAGGUGCGAAAGCGUGGGGAGCAAACAGG
Molecule: ribosomal RNA, 253 nt
Filed under: uncultured bacterium
Lineage: Bacteria
Description: partial 16S ribosomal RNA
Rfam family: Bacterial small subunit ribosomal RNA
Source: RNAcentral